CCAGGACUCCAGGAUCAUGACCUGAGCCAAAGGCAGACGCUUAAUGACUGAGCCACCCAGGUGCCCCAAAUCACUUUAUUUUAAGAUGAGGAGAAUUGAGGAUUCAAGAGUUGAAGUUGCUUGCCCCAGACCCCGCCCCCGGUCAGAGGGACAGCAGCACUGGGAAGCCCAGUCUCUUAUCCACCUAUGCUUCAUCUUGCCCUUGGCAAACUCUGGUGUUGCUGCCAUCAUUUCUCUUCCUUCUUCCCAACAGGAGAAUGAUUUUGCUCAAGUAUCUACCCCGCCCACAAGGCUUAUGGGCCCAAAUGGAGCUUACCCUGUGGCGUUUCUCUGUCCACACCCAAGGUCAAUAUGGCAGAAGCCAUUUUGCCACCAGGCUGCAAAUGAAGCCACCAUCCCGAGGGAGGCAGAGUUUAGAAAGUCACCAGAAAAUGGAGCUCCUGCUGCUGUUGGACGAGGUCAGUCUCAGGCCUGCUCUGCUGAACUUUCCAUCUGCCUCAUCUUUGGUGUAAUCACUACAUGACUGUCAGAAUUUGUAGGUUUCAAAAACAGACACAUAGACCAAUGGAACAGAAUAGAGAACCCGGAAGUGGACCCUCGGCUCUUUGGGCAACUAAUCUUUGAUAAAGCAGGAAAAAACAUCUGGUGGAAAAAAGACAGUCUCUUCAAAUAAAUGGUGCUGGNGUGCUGGGAAAAUUGGACAGCUACAUGCAAAAGAAUGAAACUUGACCACUCUCUCACACCAUACACAAAGAUAAACUCCAAAUGGAUGAAAGACCUCGAUGUGAGACAGGAAUCCAUCAAAAUCCUAGAGGAGAACACAGGCAGCAACAACUACGACAUCGGCCAAAGCAAACUUUUUCAUGACACAUCUCCAAAGGCAAGAGAAACAAAAGAUAAAACGAACUUNACAAGGCAAGAAACAACAAUUGUUGGAGAGGAUGUGGAGAAAGGGGAUCCCUCCUACAUUGUUGGUGGGAAUGCAAGUUGGUACAGCCACUCUGGAAAACAGUGUGGAGGUCCCUUAAAAAGUUAAAAAUUGAACUACCCUAUGACCCAGCCAUUGCACUACUGGGUGUUUACCCCAAAGAUACAGACGUAGUAAAGAGAAGGGCCAUAUGCACCCCAAUGUUCAUAGCUGCAUUGUCCACAAUAGCCAAAUCAUGGAAGGAGCCGAGAUGCCCUUCAACAGAUGACUGGAUUAAGAAGUUGGCGUCCAUAUAUACAAUGGAAUAUUACUCAGCUAUCAGAAAGAACGAGUUCUCAACAUUUGCUGCAACAUGGACGGCACUGGAGGAGAUAAUGCUAAGUGAAAUAAGUCAAGCAGAGAAAGACAAUUAUCAUAUGAUUUCUCUCAUCUAUGGAACAUAAGAACUAGGAGGAUCGGUAGGGGAAGAAAGGGAUAAAGAAAAGGGGGGUAAUCAGAAGGGGGAAUGAAACAUGAGAGACUAUGGACUNUAUGAGAAACAAACUGAGGACUUCAGAGGGGAGGGGGGUGGGGGAAUGGGAUAGGCUGGUGAUGGGUAGUGAGGAGGGCACGUAUUGCGUGGUGCACUGGGUGUUAUACGCAACUAACGAAUCAUCGAACUUUACAUCAAAAACCAGGGAUGUACUGUAUGGUGACUAACAUAAUAUAAUAAAAAAAAUUAAAAAAAAAGAAUUUGUAGGUUUCAUUUUGUAAAUCUAUAAUAUCGAUAUUAUAUUAGUUGAUACUGAUGAAUUCAUCCUUGUACCUUGUGGUGGUUUUGAAACAUGUUUGUAAUUCUUUGACACUCCUCACAGGAGGAUAUAGAGUCUGUGUCCCUGCCUCUUGAAACUGGGCAAGCUCUCAUGACUGUUUCAAUGAACAGAAUGUGACAGGAGUGGUGCUGUGUGACUUCCGAAGUCAGAUCAGAAAAGGUCAUGCAGUUUCUGCCAGUCUCUCUUUAGGACACUGACUCCAAGUCUCAUGCCACAUAAGAGGUCUGUCCAUGCUGAGUCUCUUUGGGGAGAGACCACAUAGAAAGACAGGUAGGUAGGUAGAUCAAUCGAUCCAGAAAUGGAAGGAUAGAUCCUUAGGUAGCUGAAUAUAUCCAUAGGUGGCUGGAUGAAUAGAUUGAACCCCUAGUUAUUUCAGUCUUCCUAGGCUCUAAGACAUGUGAGUAAAGAACCCUUGAGGAUGACCCUGGCCCAGCCUCUGUCUUUCUGUAACUGCAUGACAGACAAAGCAAGAACCACCUUGCUUAGCCCAGUACACUCCAGAUCGCUUUUGCUUUAAGCCACCAUUUGAGGUGGUUUGUUACACAUUAGCACAUGUUAGCAAUAGCUAAUCAGAACACAGCUUAUUAAUACAUUUAAUAAAAUAGUUUAUAUUUAUAGAAGAAAAUGACAAUAGUGUCCUAUAAUCUGGGACUCCCUUCUCUAUGCUUCUAGUUUGAGCUCCCUGUUCAUACUACAGGCAAAAUGACUCCUUUGGUAGCAGUAACACCAUGAGUAGGAAUUGUUUCUGGCCCAGAAACGUAAAUGGUUCUUAUCAAUGGUAAUUGUUAUUUCCAUUAUUAAUGGAAUGCUACUAAACAAAUUAAGACCUUCAAAUUCUGCUUCACACCCUCGCCCACCCCAUACCUUCUCCCUUACUCUCCUGCUUGAGAAGGACUCAUGAAGUUUUAGAACCUGAAAGGAAUCUAAGGGAAGCAUCAGAACCAACCUACUUACUUUAGAGAUGAGGAAACUACUGUUGCACACUUGAUAAAUUGGUGAUACGGAACUAGAACCCAGGUCUCCAGGCAAUCAGAUCAAUGCCACUCCAUUUCAUCACUUCCUGCCCUGGACGGGGUCAUCUUUCAGACCCAGAGCAAGGGCCUGACUCUCUAGACUGACCUACCCAAGAGGUCCUAUUGUAAUCAAGAGAAAGCUGCUUAGUGUCCUGCCCAUGCACCUGUUUAUUAAUGGGUCAAAUCAAGACCCCAUUCAGGCUAAUCCACUUGUGUAAACAGCUAUUACACACAAAGAGAACCGCAUAAAAUAAAGCCAACAUAAAAAGGGCUUCUUUUCCCUGAAAGAGGGAAGUGAGAGUUGCCUGUGCUUUUCAAUAUUAAUUAUAUGAUGCGGCAGGGAAGGUGUGGGAAUUGAAACGGAUCUGAAAUUCUCUCUUGCCUACAAAUCUAAUAAACACCAAAGAUUCUUAUUUUAUUUUUUUAAACAGGCAGAAGUGCUCUUGCAGGUCUCAAACUAGAGAAGGACCAAAUGCCACAGUAUAUGCUACUUUGCAAAGUGCUGUCAAAAGCAGAGCUGGAAAAUUCUUGACAUCAUCAAGUGGCUUCCCCCCAGAAAUGGUAUGAAUGGGAGCUGGGCGGGGGGAGCAAGAGGCUGUGGACAGGAAGCUGAGUGCACAGAUUCUGAAAAAAGGACUACUGAAAUCCCUAUUUGUAAGGCAGCAGAUGGGGAAGGGCAGGUUCUAGAGUAGAAACCCUUCCUACGAGCAUAUUGAGGAUAAAAACAAAUUCACAGCAAGUACAAAGAAGAAACAAGCAUUGCCUAUAAUCUCUUCCCUCACUGAUAACACUAGUAGGUUAUCAUGUGUUAUUUCAUAUCACCAAAAUCAUGUGUUACAUACAAUUUUGUGGCCUUUUCUUUGCUGAGUAUUCUAUCAUAAAAAUUAUCCCACAUCAUUAGAAAUUAUCCACAAACAUCAUUUUAAGAACUAUGUAGUGUUUGCUGACUAUACCAUACUUAUUUCCUUAUUGCUGGAUAUUUUCCCUAAUUUUUCGAUAUUAUAAAUAACUCAUCAAUAAACCACUUUGUGUCCUACCUGUGGUUUUCCAGAAAUACACUUCUCUCUUAGUCUUUCCUUAUAGAUUUUGAUAAAGAGAGAGGACAUUUCAUUUGUUAUGAAAGUAGAGGUAAAUAAGCUGAUAAAAGGCAUAUAUUAUGUUAUAAUGCAUAUUGUACAAAAGGUUGUAAGCAAUGCUCAUUUUCUUCUUGUCACUUGCUGUGAGGAGUAUCUCUAUUUGACAGAUAAGGAACCUGAGGCUCAAAGACAUUAAGUGAUUUGCUCAAGGUCACUGAGCCAGGAUUUUAACUCUGGUGAGCAAACCCCAGAGCCCACACUUCUUUUUUUUUUUUUUUUUUUUAAAAAUUUUUUUUUUUUUUUUGAGAGAUAGAGCACAGAGGGAGAAGGAGAGGGAGAAACAACCCACCUCAGUAUCUCUUGCUUUGGAGGGAGUAUCAUGU
This is a long non-coding RNA of Ailuropoda melanoleuca (giant panda), 4212 nucleotides long. NCBI's taxonomy places the organism in Eukaryota, Metazoa, Chordata, Mammalia, Carnivora, Ursidae. The record is from Ensembl.